GUCAGGAGUUCCAGUUACGUCUGUUCCGCAUUUUACAAAUGUCCCUAGAAGGUAUGCGACAACAUAAGAAAAGCCAGAAACUUAUUGUGGCCCAGUCUUUUAGAUUGCUUCAUAAAUCUCUGUAUUUCAAUCUAACAAAAAUGGCACAAGAUUGGACUAACAUGGAGAAGAACAUGGGACUUGUUUUGGAAAUAACCACAACAUCCAACAGUUCAUCAUCCCAAUGUGACCAAAUUCACUCUUUC
This is a non-coding RNA of Pelobates cultripes (western spadefoot toad), 245 nucleotides long. The record is from the annotation of a GenBank genome assembly. NCBI's taxonomy places the organism in Eukaryota, Metazoa, Chordata, Amphibia, Anura, Pelobatidae.